UUUUCCACGAAAUCUUUCCUAAUUUAAAAUUGAAAUUAUUGGGGAAUGAAAAGAUGUUAAUACCAAAUGGGUCUAGACCAUUAAUGUAACACACUUAUGAGAAAAGGGGGGCUUUUUUAAUGGGCCUCACCACCCCCCCCUGAGAAAUCCAAGUUUUUGGGUUCCCGGGGGAGUAUGGUCGCAAGGCCGAAACUUAAAGGAAUUUACGGAAGGGCCCCCCCCGGAGUGGGGCCUGCGGCUUAAUUUGACUCAACCCGGGAAAACUUUCCCGGUCCCGACAUAGGUAGGGUUGGCAGAAUGGGAACUCUUUCAUGGUUUUAUGGGGGGGGGGCCCCGGCCGUUUUUAGUGGGGGGGGUGAUUUUUUUGGUUAAUUCCGUUAACGAACGAGACCUCGGCCUACAAAAAAAUGCGGGGGAUGGCAACAUAGGGCGUUUUUAGUUUUUAAAGGGGCCAGUUCCGUUUUCCGGGCAGGAGGUUGGGGGCAAAACCGGUUCCUGGAGGCCCUUAAAUUUUUUGGCCCCCCCCCCGGUUCCCUUGAGGGGUUCUUCGGGUUUUAUUUUUUAUUUAUGGAAUUGAGUGCUUGGUCGGAAGGCCUGGCUAAUCCUUGGAACGCUCAUCGUGCUGGGGCUAGAUUUUUGCAAUUAUUAAUCUCCAACGAGGAAUUCCUAGUAAACGCAAGUCAUCAGCUUGCAUUGAAUACGUCCCUGCCCUUUGUACACACCGCCCGUCGCACCUACCGAUUGAACGGUCCGAUGAAAUCCAUGGGAUGUUUCUGUUUGGAUUAAUUUUUGACAGAGGCAGAACUCGGGUGAAUCAUAUGUAGAGAAAGUAAGGG
Molecule: ribosomal RNA, 836 nt
Filed under: Schizochytrium sp. DBTIOC-1
Lineage: Eukaryota; Bigyra; Thraustochytrida; Thraustochytriidae
Description: partial 18S ribosomal RNA
Rfam family: Eukaryotic small subunit ribosomal RNA
Source: RNAcentral